This 449-nucleotide ribosomal RNA is filed under the name uncultured bacterium. RNAcentral's name for it is "partial 16S ribosomal RNA". It matches the Rfam family "Bacterial small subunit ribosomal RNA", at positions 29 to 523 of the family's 1533-position model. The record is from RNAcentral.
AACGAGCGCUGGCGGCAUGCCUAACACAUGCAAGUCGAACGAGAUCUUCGGGUCUAGUGGCGCACGGGUGCGUAACGCGUGGGAAUCUGCCCUUUGGUUCGGAAUAACAGUUGGAAACAACUGCUAAUACCGGAUGAUGACGAAAGUCCAAAGAUUUAUCGCCAGAGGAUGAGCCCGCGUAGGAUUAGCUAGUUGGUGUGGUAAAGGCGCACCAAGGCGACGAUCCUUAGCUGGUCUGAGAGGAUGAUCAGCCACACUGGGACUGAGACACGGCCCAGACUCCUACGGGAGGCAGCAGUGGGGAAUAUUGGACAAUGGGCGAAAGCCUGAUCCAGCAAUGCCGCGUGAGUGAUGAAGGCCUUAGGGUUGUAAAGCUCUUUUACCCGGGAUGAUAGUGACGGUACCGGGAGAAUAAGCUCCGGCUAACUCCGUGCCAGCAGCCGCCGUAA